RNAcentral lists this ribosomal RNA (497 nucleotides) under uncultured bacterium. RNAcentral describes it as "partial 16S ribosomal RNA". It matches the Rfam family "Bacterial small subunit ribosomal RNA", at positions 28 to 507 of the family's 1533-position model. The record is from RNAcentral.
GAUUAACGCUGGCGGCGUGCCUAAUACAUGCAAGUCGAGCGAACAGACGAGGAGCUUGCUCCUCUGACGUUAGCGGCGGACGGGUGAGUAACACGUGGAUAACCUACCUAUAAGACUGUGAUAACUUCGGGAAACCGGAGCUAAUACCGGAUAAUAUAUUGAACCGCAUGGUUCAAUAGUGAAAGACGGUUUUGCUGUCACUUAUAGAUGGAUCCGCGCCGCAUUAGCUAGUUGGUAAGGUAACGGCUUACCAAGGCGACGAUGCGUAGCCGACCUGAGAGGGUGAUCGGCCACACUGGAACUGAGACACGGUCCAGACUCCUACGGGAGGCAGCAGUAGGGAAUCUUCCGCACUGGGCGAAAGCCUGACGGAGCAACGCCGCGUGAGUGAUGAAGGUCUUCGGAUCGUAAAACUCUGUUAUUAGGGAAGAACAAAUGUGUAAGUAACUAUGCACGUCUUGACGGUACCUAAUCAGAAAGCCACGGCUAACUACGUG